GACGAACGCUGGCGGCGUGCUUAACACAUGCAAGUCGAACGGAAAGGCCCUGCUUGCAGGGUACUCGAGUGGCGAACGGGUGAGUAACACGUGGGUGAUCUGCCCUGCACUUCGGGAUAAGCUUGGGAAACUGGGUCUAAUACCGGAUAGGAGCCAUCUUUAGUGUGGUGGUUGGAAAGUUUUUUCGGUGUAGGAUGAGCUCGCGGCCUAUCAGCUUGUUGGUGGGGUAAUGGCCUACCAAGGCGGCGACGGGUAGCCGGCCUGAGAGGGUGUACGGCCACAUCGGGACCGAGAUACGGCCCAGACUCCUACGGGAGGCAGCAGUGGGGAAUAUUGGACAAUGGGCGCAAGCCUGAUGCAGCGACGCCGCGUGGGGGAUGAAGGCCUUCGGGUUGUAAACUCCUUUCGCUAGGGACGAAGCUUUGUUGUGACGGUACCUAGAUAAGAAGCACCGGCUAACUACGUG
This 466-nucleotide ribosomal RNA is filed under the name uncultured bacterium. RNAcentral describes it as "partial 16S ribosomal RNA". It matches the Rfam family "Bacterial small subunit ribosomal RNA", at positions 28 to 507 of the family's 1533-position model. The record is from RNAcentral.